Molecule: ribosomal RNA, 604 nt
Filed under: Escherichia coli
Lineage: Bacteria; Pseudomonadati; Pseudomonadota; Gammaproteobacteria; Enterobacterales; Enterobacteriaceae
Description: partial 23S ribosomal RNA
Rfam family: Bacterial large subunit ribosomal RNA
Source: RNAcentral
AUGGAGCCGACCUUGAAAUACCACCCUUUAAUGUUUGAUGUUCUAACGUUGACCCGUAAUCCGGGUUGCGGACAGUGUCUGGUGGGUAGUUUGACUGGGGCGGUCUCCUCCUAAAGAGUAACGGAGGAGCACGAAGGUUGGCUAAUCCUGGUCGGACAUCAGGAGGUUAGUGCAAUGGCAUAAGCCAGCUUGACUGCGAGCGUGACGGCGCGAGCAGGUGCGAAAGCAGGUCAUAGUGAUCCGGUGGUUCUGAAUGGAAGGGCCAUCGCUCAACGGAUAAAAGGUACUCCGGGGAUAACAGGCUGAUACCGCCCAAGAGUUCAUAUCGACGGCGGUGUUUGGCACCUCGAUGUCGGCUCAUCACAUCCUGGGGCUGAAGUAGGUCCCAAGGGUAUGGCUGUUCGCCAUUUAAAGUGGUACGCGAGCUGGGUUUAGAACGUCGUGAGACAGUUCGGUCCCUAUCUGCCGUGGGCGCUGGAGAACUGAGGGGGGCUGCUCCUAGUACGAGAGGACCGGAGUGGACGCAUCACUGGUGUUCGGGUUGUCAUGCCAAUGGCACUGCCCGGUAGCUAAAUGCGGAAGAGAUAAGUGCUGAAAGCAUCUA